UAGCUGGGACCGGAACUGCCUUUUUUCCAGCCAACCUAUCAGUAGCUGCCCCAUGCGUAUACUGACAAGGCUGAUCUGGCUUCCUUGCUGGGAACGAAGGGUGCCCAUCCACAGCUCCCUUUGGACAAAGGGUAUUGGUGUAGUCGUAAUUAAGAAAACUGCCCAAGGGCUCGUGGAAAGUGGAAGAUGAUGAUGGUCCUCUCCUCAAAGGC
This is a long non-coding RNA of Lutra lutra (Eurasian river otter), 212 nucleotides long. RefSeq lists it as uncharacterized. The transcript is spliced from 3 exons. The record is from RefSeq and is a predicted model, not a curated record. Lineage: Eukaryota; Metazoa; Chordata; Mammalia; Carnivora; Mustelidae.